This 220-nucleotide ribosomal RNA is filed under the name uncultured bacterium. RNAcentral's name for it is "partial 16S ribosomal RNA". It matches the Rfam family "Bacterial small subunit ribosomal RNA", at positions 30 to 247 of the family's 1533-position model. The record is from RNAcentral.
AUUGAACGCUGGCGGCGUGCCUAACACAUGCAAGUCGAGCGGUAACAGGUGUAGCAAUACAUGCUGACGAGCGGCGAACGGGUGAGUAAUGCUUCGGAAUCUACCCAAUGGUGGGAAUAACCGAGCCGAAAGGUUGGCUAAUACCGCAUACGUCCCACGGGACGAAAGCAGGGGAUCGCAAGACCUUGCGCCAAUGGAUGAGCCGAAGUCGGAUUAGCUA